CAUUCAAAAUAAAAAUCGAAAGGAUAAGCCCCAGUAUAUUGUAUUCUAAAUUGCAGAAUUUAUAUAUAUUACUUUCUAUCCGUGAGCAGCAUAAAUCAGUAUGGUUCCGUAUUAGAUCGGACCGGUGCAAAUCGAUAAAAGGAGGAAGGGAUGGAUCGGAGAGGAAGAAAAAAGAGAAGGAGAGAAAAAGAAGAGAAAAGAAAAAGAGAGGAG
This 213-nucleotide long non-coding RNA is filed under the name Elaeis guineensis (African oil palm). Its description in RNAcentral is "long non-coding RNA (EGUI_LNC062808)". Lineage: Eukaryota; Viridiplantae; Streptophyta; Magnoliopsida; Arecales; Arecaceae. The record is from RNAcentral.